GUGCUUAAGCCAUUACUGGUUCAGGGCCCAAAAAAGCAACAAUUAACUUAUCUUUUCCAGUAGAAAAUUCAAUCAGGAUAUUCUGAUGGGCACAGCAUACCAGAAUUGCAGAACCACGGUUUCUGUUCUGCAGUCCCUGUCACCCCAGAGUAACUGAGAAGCAGAGUUGGUUUUUUCAUUUGAAGGUCUGCUUGGAUGCUAGGAUUUCAUAAACACUAAGGAAGUCAAAGUUAAAUUAGCUUCCUCUUUAGUUUUAAAGCUGGCAGACUUUCCUCCCCUUAACUCCUCUAGUUUUAGCCCCUGGUAUUUUCCUGAAAGUUCAGAGACAGAUUGCAUUCUCUACCUUGUUCAUAAAUGCAACUCCCUCCCUACUUUUGUACAUUUUGCUCUGUAAUAGGUAAGUUAUAUUUCCGUUCUAAUGAAAAUGAUGAUGUAAUGAGUCAACCAACAGGAAUUAUUAAUCAAAAUGCUGAAGUCUUCAUUCCAUAAUGGAAAAAGAAAAAAGUGCUAAGGUAAGCUUUGCUAUAGCUUUUUAGUUUUUCUGCUCCUUUAACAACACUGGUAGCAUGAAUGUUGUUUCAGACAUAAUGUAAAUAAUGAAAUGGCUUUGGAUUUUGGUACGAAGUAUCUUUUUAUUUUAUUCUUUUAAGUGAGGAGAAAGUUUUUGAAGCAUGGUUGUUACUGAAUUGACAUGUUGUACUUUUUUUCUGCAACUAUACUAAGACAUCAGUAAAAUAUGUGAAAAUAGUAAGCCUCCCAAAAGGCCUAAAUUAGACAUGACAUCCUUGUAGGUGCAUGUGUUCAAGAGCAAGAUAUUUUAAGACCUGUAUUUUAAUCUAAAUAUGCGUUUGCUAUUAGCAACAGAGGUCAGGCCUUCCCAGAUUAUCCUGUGCACAAGGAAAAUCCAAGUUUGCUUCUUUUGACGCAUAAUAUGGAUGCUUUUACCCUUAGCUACUGACAGUGGUGAAGACAAAGGGAAUUGAAGCAAUGGCUCAGGACUGCAUAAUCCAGAUAGCGUCUAUACCAAUUGCUGAGCUGGAAAACAUCCAAUUUUCAGUCUCUGCUGCAUCUGGUAAGACUUGGUCUCUGACUAUUCAGCUUUACCAGCAAACUAUAGGGCAGUUGUAAGACAG
Molecule: long non-coding RNA, 1133 nt
Filed under: Falco tinnunculus (common kestrel)
Lineage: Eukaryota; Metazoa; Chordata; Aves; Falconiformes; Falconidae
Description: lncRNA (ENSFTIG00000013879.1)
Source: RNAcentral